UGCCAGCAGCCGCGGUAAUACGGUGGGUGCAAGCGUUAAUCGGAAUUACUGGGCGUAAAGCGCGCGUAGGUUGUUUGGUAAGUUGGCUGUGAAAGCCCUGGGCUUAACCUGGGAAAGCCAGUCAAAACUGCCAGACUAGAGUACUGUAGAGGGUAGUGGAAUUUCCGGUGUAGCGGUGAAAUGCGUAGAGAUCGGAAGGAACACCGGUGGCGAAGGCGACUUCCUGUGCCAAUACUGACGCUGAGGCGCGAAAGCGUGGGUAGCAAACAGGAUUAGAUA
Molecule: ribosomal RNA, 279 nt
Filed under: uncultured bacterium
Lineage: Bacteria
Description: partial 16S ribosomal RNA
Rfam family: Bacterial small subunit ribosomal RNA
Source: RNAcentral